This 197-nucleotide ribosomal RNA is filed under the name uncultured bacterium. Its description in RNAcentral is "partial 16S ribosomal RNA". It matches the Rfam family "Bacterial small subunit ribosomal RNA", at positions 335 to 524 of the family's 1533-position model. The record is from RNAcentral.
AUUCCUACGGGAGGCAGCAGUGGGGAAUUUUCCUCAAUGGGGGAAACCCUGAUCCAGCCAUGCCGCGUGAGUGAAGAAGGCCUUCGGGUUGUAAAGCUCUUUCAGCCGGAACGAAACGGUCACGGCUAAUACCUGUGACUACUGACGGUACCGGAAGAAGAAGCACCGGCUAACUACGUGCCAGCAGCCGCGGUAAU